Molecule: RNA transcript, 6056 nt
Organism: Marmota monax (woodchuck)
Lineage: Eukaryota; Metazoa; Chordata; Mammalia; Rodentia; Sciuridae
Gene: Sult4a1
Gene name: sulfotransferase family 4A member 1
Exons: 8
Source: RefSeq, a predicted model, not a curated record
CGGCGCGGGCGGCGGCGGCGGCAUGGCGGAGAGCGAGGCCGAGACCCCCAGCACCCCGGGGGAGUUCGAGAGCAAGUACUUCGAGUUCCACGGCGUGCGGCUGCCGCCCUUCUGCCGCGGGAAGAUGGAGGAGAUCGCCAACUUCCCGGUGCGGCCCAGCGACGUGUGGAUCGUCACCUACCCCAAGUCGGGCACAAGCCUGCUGCAGGAGGUUGUCUACCUGGUGAGCCAAGGGGCCGACCCCGAUGAGAUCGGCCUGAUGAACAUCGACGAGCAGCUCCCGGUCCUGGAGUACCCCCAGCCAGGCCUGGACAUCAUCAAGGAACUGACGUCUCCCCGCCUCAUCAAGAGCCACCUCCCCUACCGCUUCCUGCCCUCCGACCUCCACAACGGUGACUCCAAGGUCAUCUACAUGGCUCGGAACCCCAAGGACCUGGUGGUGUCCUACUACCAGUUCCACCGCUCGCUGCGGACCAUGAGCUACCGGGGCACUUUCCAGGAGUUCUGCCGGAGGUUCAUGAACGACAAGCUGGGCUACGGCUCCUGGUUUGAGCACGUGCAGGAGUUCUGGGAGCACCGCAUGGAUGCCAAUGUGCUCUUCCUCAAGUACGAAGACAUGCACCGGGACCUGGUGACCAUGGUGGAGCAGCUGGCCAGAUUCCUGGGUGUGUCCUGUGACAAGGCCCAGCUGGAGUCCCUGAGCGAGCACUGCCACCAGCUGGUGGACCAGUGCUGCAACGCGGAGGCCCUGCCUGUGGGCCGGGCACAUUGCCUCUUUGCUCAGAAGAUCUCCUUGAGCUGGUGAGAGCGCAGGGCUCGGGUAGCCAGCCGCAUUGCUUAAAUUUGAUUCAUAUCACAGCAUAAAUUGUCUUGAUUCCAAAUCCUAAACCAGGGCGGGUCGGGCUGUGGAAGGACAUCUUCACCGUCUCCAUGAACGAGAAGUUCGAUCUUGUGUAUAAACAGAAGAUGGGGAAGUGCAACCUCACCUUUGACUUUUAUUUAUAGUAACAGAAACAGCAAACUUGCAUGCCCUCAGUACCCAGACGCUCUGCUAGCUAAAAGUCCGUAUGCAUUCAUUUAUUCCUUGCUGGACACACUCUGGAAGCAGCGUGUAAACAACGGGAAGAACCCAGCGGAGAACCCGGAGAAGGGUGCGGAUGCCCACCAGGCGGCGUCUCGCCCUCAGCAUUUGCAGUCUCUGCUGUGUACAAACCUCAUGGAGUGCAGUCCUGGUGGCUGUGCCACUUUAAGUGUGGCACCUGCACCAUGGGAGGCCAAGUGCCGCCUGUACCACCCUGUGCCACUUCCUGUGUUUUAUAGAGCUUUUCACUGGAAGUCUGAAUAAAUGUCGGUAAACCAAAUAGAAGUUCACUUUUGGGGGGAAGCAAGAGUGAGCCACUCCCAAACGGCAGGAAGAUCUCAGGGUCGCCUCUAGUCUGGUCGCCUAAGCCACAGCCAUUCCGUUCCGCUCUUGCCUAGCCUGCAAUGGUGAGAGCGUGUGGUGGGGGGAACCUGCCUGGUUUGGGUGGAGGUGGGUCCUUUGACCCUUUCUGACACCAGGCAGAUCCUGUUCUCAGGCCAGAGCAGAGGAUUCCAUGGAAGUUUCUGUGGGGAAACGUGGCUACGAGGUCAGCAGCGCUCGAAAGCAGUGAGUGGAGGGUCUGCCAGAGAGACCUCGAUGCUCUGGAGUCACGUUUGAACUGUAGUCUAACCUUUUGUCCCUGGGGCAAUAGCACACCUGUGCUGGCAGUCCGUUUCCCAAAACCCCUGUCUUGCAUUCAGCUUGUUCCAGCUGUACGUGAGGCGGAGGGCCGAGGGUCGUGAGCUGGCCUGCAAGUUGAGCUCCCUCACCAGAGGGGUUGGCGAGCCGCCCUUGUCUGUCACCCCACACCUUGGGGUAUCUGAGGGAGCAAAGGUGAUGUGUCAUUGUCCUACCACCUCCUGAAUCUUCUGGCCCACAUUCAGCUGGAGGUGAUGGAGAUGUGAGGUGGGCUGCUGCCAGCUGCAGGUGGCGUGCAGCCUGCUACUACAGGGGGCUGCGUGGUCUCUGACUCCCUCUGGGGUUGCUGCUGGGGAAGGGGCUCUGCAGCGGAGGCUGUCUGAAGCAGGUGCAGCGGGAGGCUGGGGGUUCUGUUCCUGCUGGGGCACCUGGCGCUACGCGGAGGUGGUGGCACCUUUUCUGUGCGUCUGGGACAGGCUGCUUUCUGUGAAAUUUCAUUUCUAUUUUUCUAUUUUUCGCACUGGGUGGUGUCACCGAGCGCCACCUGGUGUUGCUGUGCUUGCUGCAUCUUGAAUAAAGACACUUGCCCUGCCUUCUGUCGUGCGUGUGCUGGGGGUGGAGGACGGUCCCUGUGGGUCCUCAGGACUGUGGGACAACAGGAGGGUGAGCCACAUAAAUGUCCCAUUCCCUGAGGUUGAUGACAGAGGGAAACCGGCCACCUUGAGACCAGAAUCAGGCUGUUUAACUUACGGUUUCCAACGUUUGGCUCCCUGUGUUUUGGCGUAUUUUUAUGUAUUCACAGAGUACAACCCCGUGUGUGUAUAUAAUUAGGAUCCCUUUCACCUUUUAUAAAGAGGUGGCUGGAGGGAGGAGGGGUUUCCAUGCACCUGUGGGGCGGGCCUCCGCCUCUGCAGCCUGCCGGACAGCACUGUGUCCUGGGGUUUGCCAGGGACAGCUAAGCAGUCAGGGUUGCACUGCCCCCCAUGAAUUCCAAGGCCUCUCCAGGGUCCUUAGCGAAGGGAAGGUGACAUUGUUUUUCUUGAGAAAGCGAAAGCUUCCUGGAGAAUCCUGUUUACUGUCAGGUGAGUGACUUCCUCCAGGCCACAGGUGAAACCCUCUCUUGUGUCUGGUUGGUUCAUUGCGUGUCCCUCCUGCGUUGCCCUGCUGUCUGCCCUGGGGCAUGCACCCACCUGAAACACCGCAGGGAGCUCGUGGAGUCCAAAGGCAGUGCGUGGUGGGCUCUCUCCACCCCACACCUGCUCUGCUGAUGUCCCCUCAUUUCAGGGCGUCUUUUAUCCACUAGAUACUUGAGCACCUGCUCUGUCUUGGGCCCUGUGCAGAGCAGCAGCAGAGCAGUGGACAGCCCAGCCUCCAGGCCCGUGUGUCCCAGUGGGGAGAGAAGUCAGUCAGACCUGAGGCAAGGUCAGGGUCGAGUGCCAGCAGAGAGCUGGGGAGCAGGCUGUGGAGGAGUGGGAGGCCCCCGCUCAGGGAGCCACUGAGGAGAGCCUGGGUGGCAGCAGUGUGCCCGCCGGCCCCAGGCACUCCUAUGGCAGGAGCUCGCUUUGGAAGGGGUUUUGCACUAAAAAGGAAGUCGUGGGUGGUUUGUUUCAUAGGAGAGGACACCUGCUUUGCAUCUUCCAAGGCUUCCCUGGCUGCCCUGUGAGUCACCUGCGGGGCCGCCCAUACUGUGGCGCAGGCAGGCUCAGCAUGAAGACAUCUCCAGGGUCCCUCCCCACCUGGAAGUCUGGUCUUGGCAUUCACGGGUCCUGGGUGUCAUCUGCAGUUCCUACCUUGCUGCCUCCGAGUUGUGAUGAGGGACAUCAGCUGGGCCAUGAGGAACCGCGAGGACACAGGUAGAAGCAGGUGUGAGGGUGUUGUGGGCGGCUGGAGGAGUUAGUGUGCUGAGCGCAGCUGGAGUCCAGCAGGGCCUGCUGGGAGGAGCCUGGACAGGCAGAGGGCGAGGGUGCCCAGGUGGCUGCUGUGAAAACAGGCCACUAGGAGCUCGUGUCCGUCAGUGGUUGCCCUUUAUUUCACAUGCCAGGAAGGUGCUGGGAUGUGUCUGGGUGGACGUAGGUGUAUGUGUACUUGUGAGUUGGUGCUGCAGUCCUGGGCAGAGCGUGUGACUACAGCCUCCCCAGGCUGGGGCCCUGCUCCGACACUAGGUGUUUGGAGCUUAUCCUGUUUUCCCUCCUGGCCCCGUUAUUGACCUGAGUGGGGACCAGCAUGGGCUCCAUGGCAUCCCACCGGACGCUCCUCUGACCCAGCAGCAUCAUGUGCAGGAAGGCAGUCACCUUUGUCCCGUUCACUUUCAGAAUGGUCAUGACACCACCAUGGCCCUUAAACAAUGCACAAACCCCUACCCCAGCUGCUCUGCGCCAGCUCCGCCUGGUGGCCAGGGUGCUGCUGCCAGCUCAUGGCCUCAGUUCUGUGGUUGAGGAGUGCACAGUGGUGGUCACAGCACUGCAGAGGGACGCCAAUCAGCUACAGGCCCUACUGCGCGCUGGCCCCCCCUUCCUGGGCUGGGGAUGGAGCUGGUGUUGGAGGAGUCUUGGUGCCUGGGCUCUGUGGCGCCAGCCCUGUUCUCUGGAGUUCUCCCUCCCCACUCGGAACCUUUGAGCUCCUCGGUGCACAGCAUGCACUGCAGUACAGGGAUGGCACCUUGGUCAGGGUCCAGCCUUGCCCAGCAAGGAAUGGCCUCUGAUAUCCCCAGCAGCCGGAUGCACGGUCCCUGGUAAGCUUGCUGCCUCCAGACUCUGCGAAGUCUCUAGUGACCUUGCAGGCACUGUCCCUGCCAGCUGUGUCUCUGCACCUUGGGAUGUUCACUUCCUCACGCUGGGCCCCCAGCCCUGCUGCCUCCGCCCGGGGCGAGUCCCUCUCCUUCCCUGGACUGCGGUUCCUCGUGCUCCCUACUGUCCUCUCUUUGUGCCCACCUCGGUGUCCUGUGGCCGUGUCCCUCAAUGAACAGCCGUGCUCUGAGAGCAGCAAAGGUUCUGUCUUCCUAGGUCAGAGGUGGGCACCUGGUCAGUGACUAGUGAGUGAAAGGCUACUUCAACUGCCAGUGCCGCUCUUUCCCUUCAGGAAGCUGCCCACCUUGCACCUUCCGACCACUGCAGCGGGCUGGCUGGUGGAGGCUGCAUCUUCUGGGCCGUCACCGGAUGACCCCAUGCCCUGGCCCCAGUUCUGAGCGUCUGUUCCUUUACUGUCCGUGCCAUGGACCCUGCUUGCUCCUGAGGUGCAGCCUGGAAGUCGCUGGCUGCAUGGACCCUGCUUGCUCCUGAGGUGCAGCCUGGAAGUCGCCGGCUGCAUGGACCCAGGCUGGAUUGCAGGGGGCUGUUCCUGGUGCUCCCCUUCCCACCUCUCCUCUGCCUCUUCCCUUAAGCUGAGGCACGUGGUGCCUAUGAAGCUGCCGGCGUCCCUCCUUGGUCACGCCUGUCUCCUUUCUUCAUCUCUUGGCAUUUACUGAGCACCUACUCUGUGAGGCCUGGUGCUGGGUGCUGGGGACCCACCCUUCUAUUCCAUGGGCUCUGCUCUGCGUCAUCACCCACACCAGUAUGGAAAAGGGCCUGGUGGGGAGCAGAGGUGGCUGUGAAGUCUAGGUGCUGGAACUGGGCAAGGCGCCUGCCCUCCCAGCCUGGGCCUCAGUUUGUUCACUGUAGUCUUGUAGUCUGUUUAUGGCUGAGGGACUGUCCCCACCAGGAAUGGUGGAGAGUGACCUCUGCAGAGACUGGGAGCAGACAACCUCAGGGCUGCAGAAAGGCUGCUUAUGUGAGAAACCCAGUGGGAGCUGGGUCUAAAAACAGGGCAGGAAGCGGAGGGUGCGUGCAGGGGCAUGGACAGAAAUACAGCAGGCCAUGCCAGGGCAGGCAGCCUCGCCCAGUCCCCACUGCAGUUCCAGGUCCAGCUCUGUCCACGUCCAGGAAUUCAAGCAGGGUCCUUUCAUCCCAAGGUGAAGAGGUCUCAGCCCAGAGCCUUGGGAGACUCCUUUGUGUGGUCAGAUUGCCUACCGACCAGCUCCACAGAGGAGCUAAUGAAGCCAGUGACUUUGUAGCUGAGGGACAGGCCAGCAAAAGAAUCAGUCGCAGAAGCACCUGCCACACAGAUUGGCCUGCAGUUCCCAUCUCCAAGGCGUGCUAAGCUCUUGCCAAAUCUGUACAUCAAAUGACAAUUUGAUUCGCACACUUGGAUUCCUGCGUGCUAGUUGGCAUGGAGCGUCUGAGCUGCAGUCCUUAAAUCUGUCUCCUGCCACGAGGAUAGGAGCCUGUGCUUAUUAAAAGCAGUUUGGUUUUUUUUAAACCAAAGAAUGCUAAGUGUGUCUGAAAAAUAAAAACCAACCAGA